Long non-coding RNA from Cryptomeria japonica (Japanese cedar), 564 nucleotides. RefSeq lists it as uncharacterized. NCBI's taxonomy places the organism in Eukaryota, Viridiplantae, Streptophyta, Pinopsida, Cupressales, Cupressaceae. The transcript has 2 exons. The record is from RefSeq and is a predicted model, not a curated record.
GAAUGCUUGGGAAGGUCACUGGGAGACCAAGAGGAAGUGGGGAGAGACAUUGUCAGACAAGGAGGAGACUCUCAUUGAGAAUGCUUGGGAAGGUCACUGGGAGACCAAGAGGAAGUGGGGAGAGACAUUGUCAGACAAGGAGGAGACUCUCAUUGAGAAUGCUCGGGAAGGUCACUGGGAGACCAAGAGGAAGUGGGGAGAGACAUUCCCAGUUUUGAGUCGCUAGAAUUCCUCAUCCAGGGUCAAUGGUUCUUCGUGUCAGGAAGAAAUCUAGGGAAGUGUAAAUGCUUUACAGUUGGGCGGUAAAGCGCUCUGGCAGCAUUCUCACCGAAGUUGUGAUCAUGGGAGAUAGAUGUUGGGAGUCCCUGUCAGGAUGAUAUUCAGCUUUGUAUUAUAUAUUUGAAUUGUAAUCGACCUUAUGGUCUCUUGUAACUUAAAUAAUUUUCUUAGGAAUUAUAAAUCUCUUGGCUUAUGUAUUUCAAGAUUGUGUCAAGAUAUAACACUAUGCAUCCUCUUUUGUAUAUUAAUUUUAAUGGAUUAAUUGAUAAACCAAUUUUAAAAUUU